UCUGCACAGCUUUGUUGACAGGUCAGUGU
This 29-nucleotide non-coding RNA is filed under the name Homo sapiens (human). The record is from RNAcentral. Lineage: Eukaryota; Metazoa; Chordata; Mammalia; Primates; Hominidae.